CUAUACAUGCAUGUCGAGCGGAGUUCUUCGGAACUUAGCGGCGAAUGGGUGAGUAACACGUACUUAACGUACCUUUUAGAUUGGGACAACGAUGAGAAAUUAUCGCUAAUACCGGAUACUUAUAGGGAAGGCAUCUUCCUUAUAUAAAAGGAGCUCUCAAGCUCCACUAAAAGAUCGGGGUGCGGAACAUUAGCUAGUUGGUGAGGUAAUGGCUCACCAAGGCUAUGAUGUUUAACGGGGUUGAGAGACUGAUCCGUCACACUGGGACUGAGAUACGGCCCAGACUCCUACGGGAGGCAGCAGUAGGGAAUUUUCCACAAUGGACGAAAGUCUGAUGGAGCGACACAGCGUGCAGGAUGAAGGCCUUCGGGUUGUAAACUGCUGUUAUUUAGGAUGAAAAAAUAGUAGAGGAAAUGCUAUUAUCUUGACAGUACUAAAUCAGAAAGCAACGGCUAACUAUGUGCCAGCAGCCGCGGUAAUACAUAGGUUGCAAGCGUUAUCCGGAAUUAUUGGGCGUAAAGCGUCUGUAGGUUGUUUGUUAAGUCUGGCGUCAAAACUUGGGGCUCAACCCCAAAUCGCGUUGGAUACUGGCACGCUAGAAUUGUGUAGAGGUUAACGGAAUUCCUUGUGAAGCGGUGAAAUGCGUAGAUAUAAGGAAGAACAUCAACUUGGCGAAGGCAGUUAACUGGGCACAUAUUGACACUGAGAGACGAAAGCGUGGGGAGCAAACAGGAUUAGAUACCCUGGUAGUCCACGCCGUAAACGAUGAUGAUUAGCUGAUGGGAACCAUCGGCGCAGCUAACGCAUUAAAUCAUCCGCCUGAGUAGUAUGCUCGCAAGAGUGAAACUUAAAGGAAUUGACGGGGAUCCGCACAAGCGGUGGAGCAUGUGGUUUAAUUUGAAGAUACGCGUAGAACCUUACCCACUCUUGACAUCUUCUGCAAAGCUAUAGAGAUAUAGUGGAGGUUAACAGAAUGACAGAUGGUGCAUGGUUGUCGUCAGCUCGUGUCGUGAGAUGUUCGGUUAAGUCCUGCAACGAGCGCAACCCUUAUCCUUAAUUAAAUAUCUUAAGGAGACUGCCCGGGUAACUGGGAGGAAGGUGGGGACGACGUCAAAUCAUCAUGCCUCUUACGAGUGGGGCAACACACGUGCUACAAUGGAAGGUACAAAGAGAAGCAAUAUGGCGACAUGGAGCAAAUCUCAAAAAACCUUUCUCAGUUCGGAUUGUAGUCUGCAACUCGACUACAUGAAGUCGGAAUCGCUAGUAAUCGUAGAUCAGCUACGCUACGGUGAAUACGUUCUCGGGUCUUGUACACACCGCCCGUCACACCAUGGGAGCUGGUAAUGCCCGAAGUCGGUUUAGUCAACUACGGAGACAACUGCCUAAGG
Molecule: ribosomal RNA, 1388 nt
Filed under: Mycoplasma sp.
Lineage: Bacteria; Bacillati; Mycoplasmatota; Mollicutes; Mycoplasmatales; Mycoplasmataceae
Description: bacterial SSU rRNA
Rfam family: Bacterial small subunit ribosomal RNA
Source: RNAcentral